RNAcentral lists this long non-coding RNA (695 nucleotides) under Mus pahari (shrew mouse). Its description in RNAcentral is "lncRNA (MGP_PahariEiJ_G0004756.1)". The record is from RNAcentral. Lineage: Eukaryota; Metazoa; Chordata; Mammalia; Rodentia; Muridae.
GCGUAUGUGUGUGUUGUGUUAUGUUUCCUCCAUAUGAAAUUCUUUUCCUGGAUUUGUGAUCCCUGUGGUAUAUUAAGAACCUCUCCGAUUGAAUCUCAGGGAGGACCCGGAAGUAUGUAUGACAACCGUGUGAGAAGAAGGUCCCAAAUCCCUCUCUUAAAACCUUGGGAUUGUGCUUGAGACUCAGCCCCGAUGUGUUCCUUGGUAAUUCACUCGCCUGGUUUACCCACACUGUAUGCUCCCCCUACCUGCCCCUACCUUGUCAUAAGUGCUGAGGAUUGAACCCAUGGCCUUGUGCAUGUCAGGUGCUGGGAACAUUACAUCUUCAUGUCCCAGGGACAAGAAAAUUAAAUAUACUCGUUGUUCAGUAGCUACUGAGACUGAUGGGAGGCAGAGCUGUGGAUUCAUGCGACCAAUGGUGACUGGUCUGGCUGGCCAUAUUACUUUCUCUUUAUUUUAUCAAGUACAGACAUGGCGCCUGCCUAGAGUGGUCAUACGAGUGUCCAAUCUCAAGGGAACAAUCAGGGGCUGGCUUGCAAGGCCACCUGUUCCCAUUUUUUAUUGCUCUUGUUGCAUGUGUAUAUGUGACAUAUGUGCAUGUAUGUUCAUGUGUUCGUGGGUACACAUUGUAUGCGGGUGUGUGUGCAUAUGUCUUCUCUGCAUGGUCAUUGAAGAAAUUAAAACAGGAAGACUCG